UUUGGUUCACUGUAAAAUCGUAAAAAAUAAUUUUUGAUAGAUAAAAAAAUUUCGAUGGAAUUUUUUUUUUUUUUUUUACGUUUUAUAGUGUUUGGUUUAUAAGAAAAAAAAUAAUUUUUUAUUAAUAUUUAUUUGUUUGAAAGUUAAAAAAUCUAUAUUUAUUUGGUUCAAAAAAAAAAUUUAAAAAAUUUACGCAGCUUGAGUCUUCAUUUUCUAUCGUAAAACAACGAAAAAUGAAGACUUCAAUUUUUCUCUAUAUUCAUAAAAAUACUUUUAUGGAAAAAUAUUUUUACGUUAAUAAACCAAGCAAACAGAAAAGUAGUUUUUAUACCUAAAUUGAUUUUUCGGUUCAUUUUACAGCGAACCAAUGCCCCCUUAGCAUUUGUGCUUUACGCAGUAUACUUAGAUGAAAACAGGUGGGAUAUGAAAUAUUCAUAUCCAUAUUUUUAUUUUGCAUAUGAAUUCAGAUAGGAAUACAUAUUGAAUAUUAAAUUUUUAUUAUUAUAUUCAUUAAAAAUAGAUUCAGAUACGACUGAAUAUUUCUUCAAAUUCGGAUAUAAACCGGAUAUUUAUAGCAGAAUAUA
This 584-nucleotide long non-coding RNA is filed under the name Ananas comosus (pineapple). Its description in RNAcentral is "long non-coding RNA (ACOM_LNC002471)". Lineage: Eukaryota; Viridiplantae; Streptophyta; Magnoliopsida; Poales; Bromeliaceae. The record is from RNAcentral.